CCCUGAGACUUWRAGUCUCCUGAAGGAACGUUGAAGACGACGACGUUGAUAGGCCGGGUGUGUAAGCGCAGCGAUGCGUUGAGCUAACCGGUACUAAUGAACCGUGAGGCUUAACCUU
Molecule: ribosomal RNA, 118 nt
Filed under: Salmonella enterica
Lineage: Bacteria; Pseudomonadati; Pseudomonadota; Gammaproteobacteria; Enterobacterales; Enterobacteriaceae
Description: partial 23S ribosomal RNA
Source: RNAcentral